AUUGAACGCUGGCGGCAGGCCUAACACAUGCAAGUCGAGCGGAUGAAGGGAGCUUGCUCCUGGAUUCAGCGGCGGACGGGUGAGUAAUGCCUAGGAAUCUGCCUGGUAGUGGGGGAUAACGUCCGGAAACGGGCGCUAAUACCGCAUACGUCCUGAGGGAGCAAGUGGGGGGUCUUCGGACCUCACGCUAUCAGAUGAGCCUAGGUCGGAUUAGCUAGUUGGUGGGGUAAAGGCCUACCAAGGCGACGAUCCGUAACUGGUCUGAGAGGAUGAUCAGUCACACUGGAACUGAGACAGGGUCCAGACUCCUACGGGAGGCCGCAGUGGGGAAUAUUGGACAAUGGGCGAAAGCCUGAUCCAGCCAUGCCGCGUGUGUGAAGAAGGUCUUCGGAUUGUAAAGCACUUUAAGUUGGGAGGAAGGGCAGUAAGUUAAUACCUUGCUGUUUUGACGUUACCAGCAGAAUAAGCACCGGCUAACUUCGUG
Molecule: ribosomal RNA, 484 nt
Filed under: uncultured bacterium
Lineage: Bacteria
Description: partial 16S ribosomal RNA
Rfam family: Bacterial small subunit ribosomal RNA
Source: RNAcentral